GUGGGGAAUAUUGGACAAUGGGCGAAAGCCUGAUCCAGCCAUGCCGCGUGUGUGAAGAAGGUCUUCGGAUUGUAAAGCACUUUAAGUUGGGAGGAAGGGCAGUAAGUUAAUACCUUGCUGUUUUGACGUUACCGACAGAAUAAGCACCGGCUAACUUCGUGCCAGCAGCCGCGGUAAUACGAAGGGUGCAAGCGUUAAUCGGAAUUACUGGGCGUAAAGCGCGCGUAGGUGGUUUUGUAAGUUGGAGGUGAAAUCCCCGGGCUCAACCUGGGAACUGCCUCCAAAACUGCAUGACUAGAGUACGGUAGAGGGUAGUGGAAUUUCCUGUGUAGCGGUGAAAUGCGUAGAUAUAGGAAGGAACACCAGAGGCGAAGGCGACUACCUGGACUGAUACUGACACUGAGGUGCGAAAGCGUGGGGAGCAAACAGGAUUAGAAACCCCAGUAGUCC
RNAcentral lists this ribosomal RNA (450 nucleotides) under uncultured bacterium. RNAcentral's name for it is "partial 16S ribosomal RNA". It matches the Rfam family "Bacterial small subunit ribosomal RNA", at positions 354 to 796 of the family's 1533-position model. The record is from RNAcentral.